Molecule: ribosomal RNA, 413 nt
Filed under: uncultured bacterium
Lineage: Bacteria
Description: bacterial SSU rRNA
Rfam family: Bacterial small subunit ribosomal RNA
Source: RNAcentral
GAGUUUGAUCGUGGCUCAGAUUGAACGCUGGCGGCAUGCCUUACACAUGCAAGUCGAACGGCAGCGCGGAAUGGGGUAACCCGGCCUGGCGGCGAGUGGCGAACGGGUGAGUAAUAUAUCGGAACGUACCCUGGAGUGGGGGAUAACGUAGCGAAAGUUACGCUAAUACCGCAUACGAUCUAAGGAUGAAAGCAGGGGACCGCAAGGCCUUGUGCUCCUGGAGCGGCCGAUAUCUGAUUAGCUAGUUGGUAGGGUAAAAGCCUACCAAGGCAUCGAUCAGUAGCUGGUCUGAGAGGACGACCAGCCACACUGGAACUGAGACACGGUCCAGACUCCUACGGGAGGCAGCAGUGGGGAAUUUUGGACAAUGGGCGCAAGCCUGAUCCAGCAAUGCCGCGUGAGUGAAGAAGGCC